AGUCUGGUGCCAGCACCCGCGGUAAUUCCAGCUCCACUAGCGUAUAUUAAAGUUGUUGCAGUUAAAAGCUCGUAGUUGAACCUCUGUCUGGGGCUAGUUUUGGCUUUGGUCAGGCUAGUUCUAGGCAUCCGCCUACAAGACUUAGAGGGCAUUCAGUUGUUCACUAGGAGGAGUAGGCAUUUUACUUUGAAAAAAUUAGAGUGUUUAAGGCAGGCAAUCGCCCGCAUAUAUUAGCAUGGAAUAAUAGAAUAGGACACUUUUCCAUUUCGUUGGUUAUUGGAAUCGUGUAAUGAUUAAUAGGGACAGUUGUGGGCAUUUGUAUUUAGUUGUCAGAGGUGAAAUUCUUGGAUUUAUUAAAGACAAACUAACGCGAAAGCAUUUGCCAAGGAUGUUUUCAUUAAUCAAGAACGAAAGUUAGGGGAUCAAAGACGAUCAGAUACCGUCCUAGUCUUAACUAUAAACUAUUCCGACUCAAUGUUUGACUGGCUUAUAUAACCAGUUGAGCGUUGUAUGAGAAAUCAAAGUCUUUAGGUUCUGGGGGGAGUAUGGUUGCAAAGCUGAAACUUAAAGGAAUUGACGGAAGAGCACAACCAGGAGUGGAUUCUGCGGCUUAAUUUGACUCAACACGGGGAAACUUACCAGGUUAAAACAAUAGUGGGAUUGACAGUUUGAGAGCGCUUUCUUGAUUGGUUGGGUGGUGGUGCAUGGCCGUUCUUAGUUGGUGGAGUGAUUUGUCUGCUUAAUUGCGUUAACGAACGAGACCUUAACCUGCUUACUAGACUGGCGAUCAUCAAUCGUUAGCUCUUCUUAGAGGGACUUUGGUUGUUUUAACUCCAAGGAAGUUUGAGGCAAUAACAGGUCUGUGAUGCCCUUAGAUAUCCUGGGCCGCACGCGUCAUACAAUGACUAGUUCAGAAAGUUUUCUCCUGACCCGAAAGGGGAUGGGUGAUCUUGAUAAUACUAGUCGUGUUAGGGAUCGAUCUUUGCAAUUAUAGAUCUUGAACGAGGAAUUCCUAGUAAGUGCGGUUCAUCAGACCGUACUGAUUACGUCCCUGCUCUUUGUACACACCGCCCGUCGCUUCUACCGAGUGGGUGGUCCGGUGAGAUAAUUGAACUUCGCAGGUAACUGAGAGGAAAGAUUAUCAAACCUAUCCACCU
This 1157-nucleotide ribosomal RNA is filed under the name metagenome. Its description in RNAcentral is "SSU rRNA". It matches the Rfam family "Eukaryotic small subunit ribosomal RNA", at positions 558 to 1774 of the family's 1831-position model. The record is from RNAcentral.